GUGUCCACGUUGUUGCUGUCGCGUGUCAACGGUUAUACAACGGUGUUACUAAAAUAUUUUUAUUUCUGUUUUAAGUAGUAUGGUGCGUGUGUGGCAGUACUCACGUUGGACAAUGUUCCAGAAGAACUUUUCGUCUAGUUGAACUAUCUGCUUGAGUUGUCCAUUUCGGCACAUCCAGUCUGCGACUGUGAGCUACAGGUCUGCACGGUGGAGAGGGGCUUCCCCACG
Long non-coding RNA from Ixodes scapularis (black-legged tick), 228 nucleotides. RefSeq lists it as uncharacterized. Lineage: Eukaryota; Metazoa; Arthropoda; Arachnida; Ixodida; Ixodidae. The transcript is spliced from 3 exons. The record is from RefSeq and is a predicted model, not a curated record.